Molecule: ribosomal RNA, 423 nt
Filed under: uncultured bacterium
Lineage: Bacteria
Description: bacterial SSU rRNA
Rfam family: Bacterial small subunit ribosomal RNA
Source: RNAcentral
AAGACCUUGCGCUUUUGGAGCGGCCGAUGUCUGAUUAGCUUGUUGGUGAGGUAAAAGCUUACCAAGGCUUCGAUCAGUAGCUGGUCUGAGAGGACGGCCAGCCACACUGGGACUGAGACACGGCCCAGACUCCUACGGGAGGCAGCAGUGGGGAAUUUUGGACAAUGGGGGCAACCCUGAUCCAGCCAUGCCGCGUGAGUGAAGAAGGCCUUCGGGUUGUAAAGCUCUUUCAGCCGGGAAGAAAAGGCUGCGACGAAUAAUCGUAGCUCAUGACGGUACCGGAAGAAGAAGCACCGGCUAACUACGUGCCAGCAGCCGCGGUAAUACGUAGGGUGCGAGCGUUAAUCGGAAUUACUGGGCGUAAAGGGUGCGCAGGCGGUUUUGUAAGUCAGAUGUGAAAUCCCCGGGCUUAACCUGGGAACU